CCCCAGUAACGGCGAGUGAAGCGGCAACAGCUCAAAUUUGAAAUCUGGCCCUCGGGCCCGAGUUGUAAUUUGGAGAGGAUGCUUUUGGCGCGGCGCCUUCCGAGUUCCUUGGAACAGGACGCCACAGAGGGUGAGAGCCCCGUACGGUCGGACGCCUAGCCUAUACAAAGCUCCUUCGACGAGUCGAGUAGUUUGGGAAUGCUGCUCAAAAUGGGAGGUAAAUUUCUUCUAAAGCUAAAUACCGGCCAGAGACCGAUAGCGCACAAGUAGAGUGAUCGAAAGAUGAAAAGCACUUUGAAAAGAGAGUUAAACAGUACGUGAAAUUGUUGAAAGGGAAGCGCCUGUGACCAGACUUGCGCCCUGCGGACCACCCGGCGUUCUCGCCGGUGCACUCCGCAGGAUGCAGGCCAGCAUCGGUUCUCCCAGGGGGACAAAGGCCGCGGGAACGUAGCUCUUUCGGGAGUGUUAUAGCCCGCGGCGCCAUGCCUCUAGGGGGACCGAGGACCGCGCUUCGGCAAGGAUGCUGGCGUAAUGGUCACUAGCGACCCGUCUUGAAACACGGACCAAGGAGUCAAGCAUUGGGGCGAGUGUCCGGGUGCCAAACCCGCACGCGAAAUGAAAGUAAACGUAGGUGAGAGCUUCGGCGCAUCACCGACCGAUCCUGAUGUAUUCGGAUGGAUUUGAGUAAGAGCCUUACCGCUUGGACCCGAAAGAUGGUGAACUAUGCCUGUAUAGGGUGAAGCCAGAGGAAACUCUGGUGGAGGCUCGCAGCGGUUCUGACGUGCAAAUCGAUCGUCAAAUAUGGGCAUGGGGG
Molecule: ribosomal RNA, 814 nt
Filed under: Hawksworthiomyces taylorii
Lineage: Eukaryota; Fungi; Ascomycota; Sordariomycetes; Ophiostomatales; Ophiostomataceae
Description: eukaryotic LSU rRNA
Rfam family: Eukaryotic large subunit ribosomal RNA
Source: RNAcentral